This is an RNA transcript of Carlito syrichta (Philippine tarsier), 917 nucleotides long. It is a transcript of the gene named nuclease-sensitive element-binding protein 1 pseudogene, with no coding region annotated. Lineage: Eukaryota; Metazoa; Chordata; Mammalia; Primates; Tarsiidae. The transcript is spliced from 3 exons. The record is from RefSeq and is a predicted model, not a curated record.
AUGGUCAUGGAACGGUUAACCCUGCGUCUUCCUGAAGUCAUGGGCUUUUGCUGGCGGGAUGGUCCUGGCAGCCCUGUCUUCCCAGGAAAGAACCAGGAGAAGCUGACUUCACCUGGGACUGAGAGCCACACCCAGGAAAGUGAAGCUCCAGUGAUGGAGCAGAAGGAGCAGAAGGAGGGCAUGGAGCCAGACAUGCAGAAUUACCAGAAUAGUGAGAGUGGGGAAAAGAAUGAGGGAUUGGAGAGUGCUCCUGAAGGCCAGGCCCAACAACACAGGCCCUACUGCAGGCGAUUGUUCCCACCUUACUACAUGCGGAGGCUCUAUGGGUGUUGACCACAGUAUUCCAACCCUCCUGUGCAAGGAGAAGUGAUGAAGGGUGCUGACAACCAGGGUGCCAGAGAACAAGGUAGACCAGUGAGGCAGAAUAUGUAUCAGGGUUACAGACCAUGAUUCCGUAGGGGCCCUCCUCACCAAAGACAGCCUAGAGAGGAUGGCAGUGAAGAGGAUAAGAAAAUCAAGGAGAUGAUACCCAAGGUCAGCAGCCACCUCAACUUCGGUACUGCCGCAACUUCAAUUACUGAUGCAGACUCCCAGAAAACCCUAAACCCCAAGAUGGCAAAGAGAUGAAAGCAGCCGAUCCACCAGCUGAGAAUUCGUCUGCUCCCGAGGCUGAGCAGGGUGGGGCUGAGUAAAUGCUGGCUUACCAUCUCGACCAUCAUCCGGUUUAGUCAUCCAACAAGAAGAAAUGAAUAUGAAAUUCCAGCAAUAAGAAACGAACAAAAGAUUGGAGCUGAAGACCUUAACUGCUUGUUUUUUGCCCGUUGACCAGAUAACUAGAACUAUCUGCAUUAUCUAUGCAGCAUGGGAUUUUUAUUAUUUUUACCUAAAGACAUCUCUUUUUGGUAAUAACAAACAUG